RNAcentral lists this ribosomal RNA (301 nucleotides) under uncultured bacterium. RNAcentral's name for it is "partial 16S ribosomal RNA". It matches the Rfam family "Bacterial small subunit ribosomal RNA", at positions 509 to 807 of the family's 1533-position model. The record is from RNAcentral.
CAGCCGCCACGGUAAUACGAAGGGUGCAAGCGUUACUCGGAACUACUGGGCGUAAAGCGUGCGUAGGUGGCGGUUUAAGUCCGUUGUGAAAGCCCUGGGCUCAACCUGGGAAUUGCAGUGGAUACUGGGUCACUAGAGUGUGGUAGAGGAUAGUGGAAUUUCCGGUGUAGCAGUGAAAUGCGUAGAGAUCGGAAGGAACAUCUGUGGCGAAGGCGACUAUCUGGGCCAACACUGACACUGAGGCACGAAAGCGUGGGGAGCAAACAGGAUUAGAUACCCCCGUAGUCCCUGUCUCUUAUAC